GACGAACGCUGGCGGCGUGCCUAAUACAUGCAAGUAGGACGCAGUUGCGAACGGGUGAGUAACGCGUAGGUACCUACCUCUUAGAGGGGGCUAACUAUUGGAAAAGAUAGCUAAUACCGCAUACUAGUAGAUUGACCUGCUUUGUAUUCGCUAGUAGGUAGGGUAAUGGCCUACCUAGGCAACGAUACAUAGCCGACCUGAGAGGGUUAUCGGCCACACUGGGACUGAGACACGGCCCAGACUCCGUCGGGAGGCAGCAGUAGGGAAUCUUCGGCAAUGGGGGGAACCCUGACCGAGCAACGCCGCGGGAGUGAAGAAGGUUUUCGGAUCGUAAAGCUCUGUUGUUAAGGAAGCGGUACUUAACCAGAAAGGGACGGCUAACUACGUGCCAGCAGCCGCGUAAUUC
RNAcentral lists this ribosomal RNA (406 nucleotides) under uncultured bacterium. Its description in RNAcentral is "partial 16S ribosomal RNA". It matches the Rfam family "Bacterial small subunit ribosomal RNA", at positions 28 to 526 of the family's 1533-position model. The record is from RNAcentral.